UACGUAGGAUGCAAGCGUUGUCCGGAUUUACUGGGCGUAAAGCGCGCGCAGGCGGCACUCUAAGUCCGCUGUGAAAUCUCCCGGCUCAACCGGGAGGGUGCAGUGUAGACUAGGGAGCUAGAGGUCGGUAGAGGGGGGUGGAAUUGCUGGUGUAGUGGUGAAAUGCGUAGAGAUCAGCAGGAACACCAGCGGCGAAGGCGGCGACCUGGACGAGCACUGACACUCAACAACGAAAGCGUGGGGAGCAAACAGG
Molecule: ribosomal RNA, 253 nt
Filed under: uncultured bacterium
Lineage: Bacteria
Description: partial 16S ribosomal RNA
Rfam family: Bacterial small subunit ribosomal RNA
Source: RNAcentral